CCUUGUUAAUAGCUAAUUAUAUUCAAGCAUGGAAAUAUGUAUUGAGAAGACUAGAAACUUACAACAGGCUGUAUUUGAUGCCGUCUAACUUGAUGUAAAAUGUUACAGAUUAUCAUGAAUAUGGUCAUAUUCUUAAAUUUGCAUCAUGGAUGGGGUCCUAGCUGUUGUUAGGCACUUCUUAAAAAUAGAGGAUUGCGUCAAGUGGCGCCUGACUAACAUUCAACAGUAAAACGUGACAUGGGAGGUCCAUGAGUUUGGAUAUUCCGGUUACUGGCUUGUGAUUCUAGUGCAGAUAGACCUAAUUCCAGCUGCCAGUAGGUCAUAAUCAAAGAACAAGCUUGGCUUGGUUAGAGAGGACAUCUCUUUUAAAUCUCUGCUUCUCAAUUUUCAAAUUUUUCUGAAGAACAUCAAGAGAUAGACCUCAAUUAAGAUUCAUCAUGAAGUUUUGACAUACCAUGGCUAUGUACCCAUUCCAUCACCUCUGAUCUGCAAGUAACAUGGCAAGCCUAUCAAGAAGAACCUGAAUUCAUAUUAGAGAUUGGCCCAAACUUUCUACAAGAGUUACAGAGAAACAAAUUGUUUCACUACCAAGAAAACUGGUAAAUUCAUUGUCCUCACGAAUCUGACUGGUCAAUGGCAGCUCAUUCAAAUGCAGGCUUGUCCCACACCAGCUCUCACCAGAAGCAUAUCGUAAAGCGUUAAGCUGAAUCAAAACCUGUUCACCUUAACUUUGUAGAAAAAGCAGCAGCAGCAACCGCUGCUUACAAAUAGCUCACUCAUGAUAUAUGAUUAUUAUAUCAUAGGCCAAUAACU
RNAcentral lists this long non-coding RNA (813 nucleotides) under Elaeis guineensis (African oil palm). Its description in RNAcentral is "long non-coding RNA (EGUI_LNC042085)". The record is from RNAcentral. Lineage: Eukaryota; Viridiplantae; Streptophyta; Magnoliopsida; Arecales; Arecaceae.